This 490-nucleotide ribosomal RNA is filed under the name uncultured bacterium. RNAcentral's name for it is "partial 16S ribosomal RNA". It matches the Rfam family "Bacterial small subunit ribosomal RNA", at positions 30 to 507 of the family's 1533-position model. The record is from RNAcentral.
AUUGAACGCUGGCGGCAGGCCUAACACAUGCAAGUCGAACGGUAACAGGACUCAGCUUGCUGCUUUGCUGCCGAGUGGCGGACGGGUGAGUAAUGUCUGGGCAACUGCCUGAUGGAGGGGGAUAACUACUGGAAACGGUAGCUAAUACCGCAUAACGUCGCAAGACCAUAUUGAGGGCCCUUCUGGCUUCUUGUCAUCCUACGUGCGCAUAUGGGAUUAGUUAGAUGGUGGGGUAAAGGGUCACCUAGGCGACGCUCCCUAGCUGGUCUGAGAGGAUGACCAGCCACACUGGAACUGAGACACGGUCCAGACUCCUACGUGAGGCAGCAGUGGGGAAUAUUGCACAAGGGGCGCAAGCCUGAUGCAGCCAAGCCGCGUGUAUGAAGAAGGCCUUCGGGUUGUAAAGUACUUUCAGCGGGGAGGAAGGGAGUAAAGUUAAUACCUUUGCUCAUUGACGGUACCCGCAGAAGAAGCACCGGCUAACUCCGUG